This 158-nucleotide ribosomal RNA is filed under the name uncultured bacterium. Its description in RNAcentral is "partial 16S ribosomal RNA". It matches the Rfam family "Bacterial small subunit ribosomal RNA", at positions 355 to 509 of the family's 1533-position model. The record is from RNAcentral.
UGAGGAAUAUUGGUCAAUGGGCGGAAGCCUGAACCAGCCAAGUCGCGUGAGGGAUUAAGGCCCUAUGGGUCGUAAACCUCUUUUGUCAGGGAGCAAGGCCUCUCACGUGUGGGAGGUUGGAGAGUACCUGAAGAAAAAGCAUCGGCUAACUCCGUGCC